Molecule: microRNA precursor, 97 nt
Filed under: Nannospalax galili (Upper Galilee mountains blind mole rat)
Lineage: Eukaryota; Metazoa; Chordata; Mammalia; Rodentia; Spalacidae
Description: miRNA (ENSNGAG00000004633.1)
Source: RNAcentral
UGACUGACUUACUACAAGUCCCAGGAUGCAUUGCAGCUUUUUCUUAACUUCAGACUAGAGCAUUGCAUGCUGGGGCAUGUAGUUGAUUUAAGCAGCA